RNAcentral lists this ribosomal RNA (464 nucleotides) under uncultured bacterium. Its description in RNAcentral is "partial 16S ribosomal RNA". It matches the Rfam family "Bacterial small subunit ribosomal RNA", at positions 28 to 507 of the family's 1533-position model. The record is from RNAcentral.
GACGAACGCUGGCGGCGUGCUUAACACAUGCAAGUCGAACGGUGAACCUGCUUCGGUGGGGGAUCAGUGGCGAACGGGUGAGUAACACGUGGGCAACCUGCCCUCAGCUCUGGGAUAACUCCAAGAAAUUGGGGCUAAUACUGGAUAUGACCGCUGACCGCAUGGUCUGGUGGUGGAAAGAUUUAUCGGCUGGGGAUGGGCCCGCGGCCUAUCAGCUUGUUGGUGGGGUAGUGGCCUACCAAGGCGACGACGGGUAGCCGGCCUGAGAGGGUGACCGGCCACCUGGGGACUGAGACACGGCCCAGCACCCCCCGGGAGGGAGGGGGGGGGAAAAUUGCGCAGGGGGCGAAGGCAGAGCGGAGGGAGCCCGGGUGGGGGAGGAGGGCCUUGGGGUUGGAAACCCUUUUCCGCGGGGACGAAGCGAAAGGACGGGAACCGGAAAAAAAACCCCCGCCCAACAAGGG